RNAcentral lists this ribosomal RNA (402 nucleotides) under uncultured Rhodovulum sp. RNAcentral's name for it is "bacterial SSU rRNA". It matches the Rfam family "Bacterial small subunit ribosomal RNA", at positions 355 to 774 of the family's 1533-position model. Lineage: Bacteria; Pseudomonadati; Pseudomonadota; Alphaproteobacteria; Rhodobacterales; Paracoccaceae. The record is from RNAcentral.
GGAGGAAUCUUGGACAAUGGGGGCAACCCUGAUCCAGCCAUGCCGCGUGAACGAUGAAGGCCUUAGGGUUGUAAAGUUCUUUCAACGGUGAAGAUAAUGACGGUAGCCGUAGAAGAAACCCCGGCUAACUCCGUGCCAGCAGCCGCGGUAAUACGGAGGGGGUUAGCGUUGUUCGGAAUUACUGGGCGUAAAGCGCACGUAGGCGGACUAUUAAGUCAGGGGUGAAAUCCCGGGGCUCAACCCCGGAACUGCCUUUGAUACUGGUAGUCUAGAGUUCGAGAGAGGUGAGUGGAAUUCCGAGUGUAGAGGUGAAAUUCGUAGAUAUUCGGAGGAACACCAGUGGCGAAGGCGGCUCACUGGCUCGAUACUGACGCUGAGGUGCGAAAGCGUGGGGAGCAAACA